GGGUGACAGUGAUUAAUGAUGUCAUAAAGACCUCACAUAUUCCAAUCUUCACUGUUUUCAAGACCACGGCUCCUCUGACAACCCAAGAUGACACUGGGUCAACAUAAAGGGAGGAAGUGUGCAAGUGCUUUCGGUAUAGUGACCAUGUGGAUGAUCCAAAUCCUUUUUACAGUAUGUAGGCACGGGUUCACCCUGAGGUAGAAUGGAAAAGGAGGCAACUAAAACACCCCGCAUCAAGCCCCUGUCCUACUGAGGUGCACAUUUGGGCUGCGUAAUGGCUGAUAAAGAUAUUAGGAGUUCGACCAUGGAAAACUCUGUCAGCUCUCUGUCAAGUUGGCUUGAGCAGGCAGCACAUGUUCCUGUGGAUUCAGAUGGCCAGUCAUAGAGAUCUCUCAGCAGAGAACCCCUCAGACUGACAGUUGCAUGCUGGGACAUCACUAUGAAUCAACCCUCACCAAUACUUUGAUGCCACC
Molecule: long non-coding RNA, 473 nt
Organism: Cyprinus carpio carpio
Lineage: Eukaryota; Metazoa; Chordata; Actinopteri; Cypriniformes; Cyprinidae
Source: Ensembl